This 2908-nucleotide ribosomal RNA is filed under the name Serratia marcescens. Its description in RNAcentral is "23S ribosomal RNA". It matches the Rfam family "Bacterial large subunit ribosomal RNA". RNAcentral also lists the same sequence under 1 other name. The record is from RNAcentral. Lineage: Bacteria; Pseudomonadati; Pseudomonadota; Gammaproteobacteria; Enterobacterales; Yersiniaceae.
GGUUAAGUGACUAAGCGUACACGGUGGAUGCCUAGGCAGUCAGAGGCGAUGAAGGGCGUGCUAAUCUGCGAAAAGCGUCGGUAAGGUGAUAUGAACCGUUACAACCGGCGAUACCCGAAUGGGGAAACCCAGUGUGUUUCGACACACUAUCAUGUCAUGAAUACAUAGUGGCAUGAGGCGAACCGGGGGAACUGAAACAUCUAAGUACCCCGAGGAAAAGAAAUCAACCGAGAUUCCCCCAGUAGCGGCGAGCGAACGGGGAGGAGCCCAGAACCUGAAUCGGCUUGUGUGUUAGUGGAAGCGUCUGGAAAGUCGCGCAGCAAAGGGUGAUAGCCCCGUACACUAAAAUGCACAGGUCGUGAGUUCGAUGAGUAGGGCGGGACACGUGACAUCCUGUCUGAAUAUGGGGGGACCAUCCUCCAAGGCUAAAUACUCCUGACUGACCGAUAGUGAACCAGUACCGUGAGGGAAAGGCGAAAAGAACCCCGGCGAGGGGAGUGAAAUAGAACCUGAAACCGUGUACGUACAAGCAGUGGGAGCACCUUCGUGGUGUGACUGCGUACCUUUUGUAUAAUGGGUCAGCGACUUAUAUUUUGUAGCAAGGUUAACCGUAUAGGGGAGCCGUAGGGAAACCGAGUCUUAACUGGGCGAAUAGUUGCAAGGUAUAGACCCGAAACCCGGUGAUCUAGCCAUGGGCAGGUUGAAGGUUGGGUAACACUAACUGGAGGACCGAACCGACUAAUGUUGAAAAAUUAGCGGAUGACUUGUGGCUGGGGGUGAAAGGCCAAUCAAACCGGGAGAUAGCUGGUUCUCCCCGAAAGCUAUUUAGGUAGCGCCUCGUGAACUCAUCUUCGGGGGUAGAGCACUGUUUCGGCUAGGGGGCCAUCCCGGCUUACCAAACCGAUGCAAACUCCGAAUACCGAAGAAUGUUAUCACGGGAGACACACGGCGGGUGCUAACGUCCGUCGUGAAGAGGGAAACAACCCAGACCGCCAGCUAAGGUCCCAAAGUCAUGGUUAAGUGGGAAACGAUGUGGGAAGGCAUAGACAGCCAGGAUGUUGGCUUAGAAGCAGCCAUCAUUUAAAGAAAGCGUAAUAGCUCACUGGUCGAGUCGGCCUGCGCGGAAGAUGUAACGGGGCUAAACCAUGCACCGAAGCUGCGGCAGCGACGCUUAGGCGUUGUUGGGUAGGGGAGCGUUCUGUAAGCCGUUGAAGGUGGCCUGUGAGGGUUGCUGGAGGUAUCAGAAGUGCGAAUGCUGACAUAAGUAACGAUAAAGCGGGUGAAAAGCCCGCUCGCCGGAAGACCAAGGGUUCCUGUCCAACGUUAAUCGGGGCAGGGUGAGUCGACCCCUAAGGCGAGGCUGAAAAGCGUAGUCGAUGGGAAACAGGUUAAUAUUCCUGUACUUGGUGUUACUGCGAAGGGGGGACGGAGAAGGCUAGGCUAGCCGGGCGACGGUUGUCCCGGUUUAAGCGUGUAGGGGGUGUGACCUGGUAAAUCCGGUUGCAUAUCAACCCUGAGGCGUGAUGACGAUGCACUACGGUGCAGAAGUAGUUGAUGCCCUGCUUCCAGGAAAAGCCUCUAAGCUCCAGGUAACAUUGAAUCGUACCCCAAACCGACACAGGUGGUCAGGUAGAGAAUACCAAGGCGCUUGAGAGAACUCGGGUGAAGGAACUAGGCAAAAUGGUGCCGUAACUUCGGGAGAAGGCACGCUGGCAUGUAGGUGAAGUCCCUUGCGGAUGGAGCUGAAGCCAGUCGAAGAUACCAGCUGGCUGCAACUGUUUAAUAAAAACACAGCACUGUGCAAACACGAAAGUGGACGUAUACGGUGUGACGCCUGCCCGGUGCUGGAAGGUUAAUUGAUGGGGUCAGCCGCAAGGCGAAGCUCUUGAUCGAAGCCCCAGUAAACGGCGGCCGUAACUAUAACGGUCCUAAGGUAGCGAAAUUCCUUGUCGGGUAAGUUCCGACCUGCACGAAUGGCGUAAUGAUGGCCAGGCUGUCUCCACCCGAGACUCAGUGAAAUUGAACUCGCUGUGAAGAUGCAGUGUACCCGCGGCAAGACGGAAAGACCCCGUGAACCUUUACUAUAGCUUGACACUGAACAUUGAGCCUUGAUGUGUAGGAUAGGUGGGAGGCUUUGAAGCGUGGACGCCAGUCUGCGUGGAGCCAUCCUUGAAAUACCACCCUUUAAUGUUUGAUGUUCUAACUCGGCCCCAUAAUCUGGGGUGAGGACAGUGUCUGGUGGGUAGUUUGACUGGGGCGGUCUCCUCCCAAAGAGUAACGGAGGAGCACGAAGGUUAGCUAAUCACGGUCGGACAUCGUGAGGUUAGUGCAAAGGCAUAAGCUAGCUUGACUGCGAGAGUGACGGCUCGAGCAGGUACGAAAGUAGGUCUUAGUGAUCCGGUGGUUCUGAAUGGAAGGGCCAUCGCUCAACGGAUAAAAGGUACUCCGGGGAUAACAGGCUGAUACCGCCCAAGAGUUCAUAUCGACGGCGGUGUUUGGCACCUCGAUGUCGGCUCAUCACAUCCUGGGGCUGAAGUAGGUCCCAAGGGUAUGGCUGUUCGCCAUUUAAAGUGGUACGCGAGCUGGGUUUAGAACGUCGUGAGACAGUUCGGUCCCUAUCUGCCGUGGGCGUUGGAAGAUUGAGAGGGGUUGCUCCUAGUACGAGAGGACCGGAGUGAACGCACCACUGGUGUUCGGGUUGUCAUGCCAAUGGCAUUGCCCGGUAGCUAAGUGCGGAAAAGAUAAGCGCUGAAAGCAUCUAAGCGCGAAACUUGCCUCAAGAUGAGUCUUCCCUGGGCCUUUAAGGUCCCUGAAGGAACGUUUAAGACUAAGACGUUGAUAGGCUGGGUGUGUAAGUGCAGCGAUGCAUUGAGCUAACCAGUACUAAUGAUCCGUGAGGCUUAACCUU